AUUGAUGGGAAUAAAGUUACUUUGGAC
This 27-nucleotide non-coding RNA is filed under the name Cricetulus griseus (Chinese hamster). Lineage: Eukaryota; Metazoa; Chordata; Mammalia; Rodentia; Cricetidae. The record is from RNAcentral.